AAAGCAAUAAAUGAAAAGGAAGAAAAAGGAACCUAAAUAUCUACCCCAGUCAAUUCAAAAACGGCUGGAUACCAUUAAUUCUCUUGAUUUGUUAUUUCAAAAUUCAAUCCAUUCUGACGAUAGUAGUUUCCAAGGAUAAGACUUUACUUGAUAUCAUCUUUUGAAAUCAUUUCCCUCAAACACUCCUUCAGUCUGUAUUUUUUAGCCAUCUUCUCUGCAAAGCGAAAAUAUGGUGCUUUAGCUCUUCUCCCAUCAGGUAAAAGGUUUCUCCUCUAUCAAGAGCGUCUUUUGCUAGUCUAUAUGCAUGCGAGUUCCCUAAUCUGUGAAUAUGCUGAAAGAUAAUCUCUUGAAAACAAGGUUUCUUAUUCUGAAUGUCUUUGAUAAUAGCUUCAAUCACUGAUUUAUUUGUUAAAUUCAUUUGGUAUUUUUUGAUUAUUAUUUUGGAGUCCCUAUAAGUUUAACCGAUUGAAGUCCCAGUGAGAUCCCUAACUUUGUGCCUUCUAAACAUGCAUACGCUUUUGCUGCAAAUGGGGAGGAAAUAUUAUUGUGAAUGAUCGUCUUUAAGACCAGUAGUUCCCCCCUCAGAUCCUAACCCACCAGACCUGCUGCUGAUUUGAAGUUUCUACUAUCAAACGCUGCAUCGAAAUGGAUCGUUAUUCUCGGUAUGUCCUCCUGGAUUCUGUAAUUUCUGUUCAUAUUAGCAGGAAUCUUAAUUGCUUUCAUUCCUUCAUAUUUUGCCAUAUGCCUCUGUAUGUUUUGUGCUAAAACUACUCCUGUUGUACUUUUCCCCUCAUGUAUGAAUUGAUUUCUGGAAAACCAUAUUAACCAUAAAGCAUAACAGAAGAGUCGGCAUUGAGCGUCGUUACCUCUCUUGAAAAUCCAAGUUAGCCACUCCCUUAGAAUUUGAUUCAUAUUAUUCAUGACCCAGGACAAAUUUAAAAACUGCCAAACUUCUGUUGUUGUAGGACAUUCACGGAAGAUAUGAAGGCUAUCUUCUGCCCAGGAGCAGCAACGGGGACAUCUGUCGUUUGAAAUGACUUCUCUGUACCUGAGAUUAGCAAGAUUAGGAAUAAAAUCCCAGGAAAUUCGCCAAAUAGUGAUUACGAUUUUUGAAGGUAGCUGGAGGCUCCAUAAUUUCCUGUAAAAUUCUUUAGUUUCGGUCUAUAAUAAAUAAUUAGUAGGAUCCAGAAUAGCAUAUUGUAACUGCGUAUUGAAUACUCGCCGGAUAAUUCUCCUUUCCAGACUUGAGUAACCUCGUGAUCAGUCUCUGCAAGAGGGAUCUGUAGAAUUUUUUGAGCAAUUUCUGCUUGAAAGGUACUAUUAAUCAAAUCCGACCUCCAUUUUCUGUUUGUAUUAUCAAUAAGAUCCGAGACUAACUGUAAUUCCCUAUUGUUUGAUCUAUUAUGUCCAUCAACUGUAUCAAUCCCCCGUAUCCAGCUAUCUUCCCAAAUAGAAAUUUUGUCUCCUUUGCCCACUCUCCAGCACAUCCCUUUUUGGAGAAGUCCCUUUGCUGCCCAAAUACUCUUCAGGUAAGUGAAGGUAAAUUUCCCAAACUCUGCAUUUAGAAAACUUGAUUGCGGAUAGUACUUUGCUUUUAAAACUCUGGCUAAUAAAGAAUUUGGAUAAUUAAUAAGGCGCUAACCCUGUUUGGCUAAUAAUGCAAUAUUAAAUUGACCAAGAUUUCGAAAACCUAAACCACCAUUUUCUUUUAAGGAACAAAGGUUUUUCCAAAUGCACCAAUAAAUUCCCCUUUUUCCAUGUCCCUUUUGCCACCAGAACCUCGCAACGAUACUUUUGAGUUCAUCAC
RNAcentral lists this long non-coding RNA (1807 nucleotides) under Gossypium barbadense (sea-island cotton). Its description in RNAcentral is "long non-coding RNA (GBAR_LNC017725)". The record is from RNAcentral. Lineage: Eukaryota; Viridiplantae; Streptophyta; Magnoliopsida; Malvales; Malvaceae.